CGUCACUAGAAUUUCCAGCGCGAUGGCUCUUUCUGAUAGAAAAUGAUGACUAAAAUACUGACAAAUCCGCACAAAAAACGUAAUAAAUUAUCGAUAACACAACGCGAUUUAAAUGUAUUGGAACGAUGACGCAACUGUCGACGAUGGAUCGUUCCCAGUGACGUCACGUUGGGAUUUCAAGCACGAAGAAGACCCUUCCAGACAUCUGAGAAUGACGAUAGGGGUUCGCUAUUGGCGUACAGAUACCAGAAUAGCAUCGAGGAGUUUGCGGACUGACUGGAAAGUGGCUCGGAUCGAUAAACAUGCGUCUGCUCCGUCCGGCGCGCCACCGACAUAUACAUACACGCGCAUACACAAAGACACAUGUGUCCCCAAACUAGUUUUAAGGAGGCAUGCAUACACGCGGGCACGAUGCACGAUCACGAUCAGUCGCGAUGUAACCGCAGCGUGAGACGGCCUCGCACCAGGCCACCGGGUGACCGCCAUCAGAUGCUCGACGUAGGCUGAUCUCGCGCCGAAGAACCGAUCACCGGUCACCAAAACCGGCGAUCAGCGACCUGUGACACUGAAGGGGGUCCAACGGUGGGUCUUGUACUUAGGAAUCAUCGGGGGUCCGUCUGGACCACGCCUGAAGAAUCAGUGAUCCUCUACAGGAAGAGGUCAAUUACCUUUCUUUGGCACAUCGCUGGAUGAUUCAUAUUUUGAUUUUCGCCGUGAUUAGCCUACAGCAGUUCUUCAGAACAUCUAAUCAAAAGAAAAGAGAAAGAUAGUGGCUCUCACCACGGUAUAAUUACGUAAUUUACAUUAUUUGCGUCCUGAAAUACAAUUGUCGUCGUCGUCGUCGUCGUCGUCACCAUCGUCGCCGUCGCCGUCGUUGUUGUCGGCGGCGCGAGCCUUAUCAUUCUCAAAGAAGAAUGGCUACAUAUUUGCGGCAAAGAGUUUCAUACAGCCCUCAGUAGGAAGAUGAUAGAGGGCCAGGUGCAUCAACAUCCGGUACGAGUGCCGCCCGACAAGUCACAACCGUCCCAGACUGCUAAUACCGGCAUCAAGUUCGAAAAUGAGCAAUGUAAGGAGCCCUUGCUUCCGGAGAAACAGAACUCCCACAAGAUGACACCAACCGAUGGCCGUUCACGAACCACCUCCGAAUCAAAAGACACCAAUACUAAUGGACAGGCGACUACAGCGAAUUCUACUAUUAGUGGACACAACACCGAUGAUUGUUUCGAGGUGACCAUCUUCGACGAGGGCACCGAUAGCGGUCGGUUACCGGAUGUUGUUGCCGAAAGUAAAAUCUAUGGUGCGGCUGAUGAGAAUGAACCACUCGAGUCAUACUUGGCGAUUACCAUCCAGGUCUUCAUACCUUUUCUUAUUGCCGGCCUGGGCAUGGUAGGCGCCGGAUUAGUUCUCGAUCUAGUCCAACACUGGGUAGUCUUCGAAAAAGUCAACGAGCUCAUGAUUCUCGUACCAGCACUUUUAGGAUUGAAGGGUAAUUUAGAAAUGACUCUAGCAUCACGUCUUUCUACUCAAGCGAAUCUCGGACAUAUGGAUUUGCCGAAAGAGCAAUGGCAUAUGAUCGUUGGGAAUCUCGUCUUAAUACAAUGUCAAGCAAUAGUGGUGGGCUUCCUGGGUUCCGUGGUGGCGAUCGUGAUGGGUGCCUUUCGCAACGGCACGGUCUCCCUGGAUCACGCCUAUCUGCUAUGUGCCAGCAGUCUGGUCACUGCAUCCCUUGCUUCCUUUGUUUUGGGCCUUAUUACUGCGGGUGUAAUCGUCUUCUCCCGUCAUUGCCAUAUCAAUCCGGACAAUGUGGCCACGCCGAUAGCCGCCAGUCUCGGUGAUAUCACCUCCUUGGCACUUCUCUCUUGGAUUGCCACCGUAUUGUACGAAAGUAUAGAUAAACAAGACUGGGUAGCGCCCCUCGUCAUAGCUUGCUACGUCCUUGUAACACCGCUCUGGGUAUGGAUUGCCAAGAAAAAUAAAUACACUAACGACGUGCUCUAUUUUGGUUGGACGCCAGUUAUGGUGGCUAUGUUAAUCAGCAGUUGUGGCGGUCUCAUAUUGGAGUUCAUGGUGUCGCGUUUUGAAAAUCUGACGGUAUUUCAACCGGUUAUCAAUGGUGUCGGCGGGAAUCUGGUGGCCGUUCAAGCCAGCAGAAUAUCAACGGCACUUCAUAAACAAGCCGAACUUGGCACGCUUCUAAUUCCACCAGGACAUACGCAUCCUGUCAUAUUUAUUACUCCUAUCGCUAAUUUUUUCGGGAAAGGUAUGCACGCCAGAACGACGAGAGUCUUGAUGGCGAUGGUGAUACCGGGCCACAUCAUCUUCAUUUAUCUGAUUAAUUAUAUGAAAGAUGGCAAUACGUCGAUGACGCCGCUCUUUGUCUUCGUUUACCUUUGCGCGGCGAUGUUGCAGGUCGCGGCACUUCUCUAUAUCGCCUAUAUAAUGAUUCACUGGAUGUGGAAGCGAAAAAUCGAUCCCGAUAACUCGGCGAUCCCAUAUCUAACCGCGAUGGGUGAUUUGCUCGGGAUCAGUCUGCUUGCGAUUGCCUUUCAAUUUCUGUACCUGGUCGGAGAUCAAGAUUUCGACGCGCCCUGAACGUAGUAAGACUAAUUUUUGUGUGGCUAUGAAUGCAGUUAACAACGAUCAUGGAAGUCAUAAAUUGUAUAAUGUUUUCCGGCGGGCACAAAUUAGAACUGUCGGAUCGAAAGGGCAUUCCUACGAGGCUGUGGUCGUCUGAAAGUAUAUUCCACCGAACGCUAUCUUCGAUUUGCCAGUCCGCCGAUGAGUUUUCAGAAGAAUGGACGGUCGCAAUAUUUAUUGACAAAAUAUUAACAAUUCGUCACUUUUUUAUCUUGCCUUUUGUCAAAAAAUUGAGAUUAAUCACCAAAUAUAUGAAGAUUCCCUCUUCAUAUUUUGCGAAAACUUAUUCAUCGAAUUAUUUUCGACAGAAUCUUGUCCGAUAUCUUAAAAUAUUUGAUAACUAAUAAAUAUUCUAUAUAUGUAAAAUAAAAAUAACGGAUUGUUAAUAUCUUGUCAAACCGAGCGGACAUACUCAGGUUUUAAUUAGGUACUAAUAUAUCAGAAGAUAACAAAGGUUGGUAUGCCAGAUUAUAGCUACUAAUAUAUUAAAAAAUAACACGAGAUAGAUAGUGGCAAAUUAAUUCGUCGAAUAUAAAAAUUGAAAAACGAUUGAAUUUUUGCAAAUAACGUUAUCUUCAAAGUUUAAGCCUAAAAUUCAAGAAUUAAUUUUUUCAAAAAUG
This is an RNA transcript of Camponotus floridanus (Florida carpenter ant), 3257 nucleotides long. It is a transcript of the gene named solute carrier family 41 member 1, with no coding region annotated. The transcript has 8 exons. The record is from RefSeq and is a predicted model, not a curated record. Lineage: Eukaryota; Metazoa; Arthropoda; Insecta; Hymenoptera; Formicidae.